UAAACAAACAAGCCAACCAUAAUGUCCCUGGGACUACUCGGAGCUUAUGUCUCCGGCAGUGAGACUGAAAGUGAAAGUGACCAAGAUCAGGAGUUGGAACCAAAGACUGAGCCGAAAUAUGAACCUUUGGAGGCUCUAAGCAAUCCUUUCGGAGCAGGAGGAGCCGCAGCAAUUAUUCCUAAACCGUCAUUCAUGCAAGAGCAGCAGCAGAGGGUGGCGGGGGUUAAGUGUGAUAAUUCAGUAUUUAGCAAUCCAUUCAGGGACAAGGAAGAGAAGAAGAAAGCCAUCCUGGAGCAGCACGUGAACAUGACAAAGAGGCAAGAGGAGAUGAAGAUGAUCGACGGGAAAAAGGUGUGCUGGAUGUACAGGAAGGGGAGGUGUAGGCAGGGGUCAAAGUGCUCCUUUGCGCAUGACAACGACGUAAAAACUGAUCGUGUUGUAGAGAUUAAAUACGAUGCUGAUUCCCAGAUCUCAAAUAAUAAAUCUGCUAAGGGAGCUGUGCAGCAGAUCCGACUGAACCCGGUCCAGGAGAGGGAUAUUUCUCCACCUAAAGAGGAUGAAAUGAUGGUUCGGAAGAAGCGUCCUGGGCUUAGCCAGGGUAUUGUCCCAAGCAAGAAGGCGAUGGCGUUCCACAACAAAGUUUACAACAAUCCGUAGUACCACCAAACAUUCAUAGGAUACGGACAAUACACUGGGGAGGGAUAAUUGUAAAAGCAUUAAAGUUUCUUCAAGACUUGAAGAAUUUGUUUUUUUCUUAAACGCUGUUAUGUUAUUUUGUUGUUGAAGUUUGGCUAUAUUUUGAAUUAGGGGGAGGGCUGGGGAAUGGGAAUGCAAGUAUAUGGAAUGUGUAUGAAUUUGACUUGUUUUAAGCUUGUAGAAAUUUUGCAAACACUUAUUUUUAUUUUAGAAUAAA
RNAcentral lists this unclassified non-coding RNA (913 nucleotides) under Eurytemora carolleeae. RNAcentral's name for it is "uncharacterized LOC111697962". Lineage: Eukaryota; Metazoa; Arthropoda; Copepoda; Calanoida; Temoridae. The record is from RNAcentral.